Long non-coding RNA from Oncorhynchus tshawytscha (Chinook salmon), 4010 nucleotides. The record is from Ensembl. Lineage: Eukaryota; Metazoa; Chordata; Actinopteri; Salmoniformes; Salmonidae.
CAACGAUAGACAGCUGUCCCUGAUUGAGAACACACUUCAUUGCCCACAUGAACAAAUACUUUCACUUUACUAUAGAAUACUACAAGAAAGUAUCCAAAACACUACAGUAAAGUCUGCAGUCUAGUAUACUAGUAUUUUUUAUAAAGAAGACAACAACACAACAAGAGACACACAUGACAACAGUGUUCUGUCUGUAAAAGAGGCCGCAGUCACAUUCUCCCUGCUUCUGAACAUAGACAUUCUUGUGUUUUAUGGGUCACAGGUUUACUCCUCUACAACAUCAGAGAGGAUCCCCUGAAAGACUGGAGACAGAAGAGAAAGCAGUCCUACUAGAUUUGUGUCUACAAGCAGCACUAGAUCACAGAGAAACAUUCCAGAGAACUGUGAACACACUGCUGUCACUGUUCUCUGUGUAUCAAACUGAGAGAUAUGACAUCCUGCUGGAUCUGUACUCUCAUGUGAAGUACAAUAGGAAUCAAACAGCCAGGAGUGUCCUUCCAUCAUUGCAGCCACUUUACCAGUCAGCUCCUGCAGUCUGGUCCAUAGACCUCUCAGAGAGAAAGACCUCCCUCCUCCUAGAAGUGCUGAAACUCCAACCAGGGAAGAAACCAGUAGAGCUGAAGGGCUGGUCAGAUGAAGAGAGUGAAGUGAGGAGUUUCCUUCAGUGUCUGUCCUACAUCUCACAGCUGAGAUUUUCUCCACUGAAGGAUAACAUAAAUAGGAGAAAGAGAGACAAGACAUGCCUACUGAAUCUGUGUCUUCAAGCAGCUCUCCAUGAGAGAGGAACCAUACAAACAACUGUAGAGAAAGUGGUGUCGCUGUCUAAAGUAUAUCACAACCAGAAAUGUGAUUUCCUGCUGGAUCUGUACUCACAUGUGAAGGACUAUGAGACUCAAACAGGCAGGAGUGUCCUUCCAGCAUUACAGACAGUUUACCAGUCAGCUCCUGCAGUCUGGUCCAUAGACCUCUCAAAGAGAAAGGCCUCCCUCCUCCUAGAAGUGCUGAAACUCCAACCAGAGAAGAAACCAGUAGAGCUGAAUGGCUGGUCAGAUGAAGAGAGUGAAGUGAGGAGUUUCCUUCAGUGUCUGUCCUACAUCUCACAGCUGAGUUUCUAUACAGACUGGUCUGAUCCCUCAAAGCAGAUCAAGUUCCUGGUGGAUCUCCUGUCUCAAGCAGCAGAGUGGGAGGAGCAGACAGGAGAGAAGACACUGAAGCUGGUAUCAUCAGUGUGGACUUACAGCACCUUUCCCUUCUGUGAAUGGGAUCAUGAUGUUGAGGAAUAUCAAUGUGAUUUCCUGCUGGAUCUGUACUCACAUGUGAAGGACUAUGAGACUCAAACAGGCAGGAGUUUCCUACCAGCAUUACAGCCAGUUUACCAGUCCGCUCCUGCAGUCUGGUCCAUAGACCUCUCAGAGAGAAAGGCCUCCCUCCUCCUAGAAGUGCUGAAACUCCAACCAGAGAAGAAACCAGUAGAGCUGAAGGGCUGGUCAGAUGAAGAGAGUGAAGUGAGGAGUUUCCUUCAGUGUCUGUCCUACAUCUCACAGCUGAGUUUCUAUCCAUGGAGGUCUGAUUCCUCAAAGCAGAUCAAGUUCCUGGUGGAUCUCCUGUCUCAAGCAGCAGAGUGGGAGGAGCAGACAGGAGAGAAGACACUGAAGCUGGUAUCAUCAGUGUGGACUUACAGCACCUUUCCCUUCUGUGAUGAUGAUGAUGGUGACGAUAAUAAGGAAUAUCAAUGUGAUUUCCUGCUGGAUCUGUACUCACAUGUGAAGGACUCUGAGACUCAAACAGGCAGGAGUUUCCUACCAGCAUUACAGCCAGUUUACCAGUCAGCUCCUGCAGUCUGGUCCAUAGACCUCAGAAAGAGAAAGGCCUCCCUCCUCCUAGAAGUGCUGAAACUCCAACCAGACAAAAAACCAGUAGAGCUGAAGGACUGGUCAGAUGAAGAGAGUGAAGUGAGGAGUUUCCUUCAGUGUCUGUCCUACAUCUCACAGCUGAGUUUCUAUCCAUGGAGGUCUGAUUCCUCAAAGCAGAUCAAGUUCCUGGUGGAUCUCCUGUCUCAAGCAGCAGAGUGGGAGGAGCAGACAGGAGAGAAGACACUGAAGCUGGUAUCAUCAGUGUGGACUUACAGCACCUUUCCCUUCUGUGAUGAUGAUGAUGAUGAUGAUGGUGACGAUAAUAAGGAAUAUCAAUGUGAUUUCCUGCUGGAUCUGUACUCACAUGUGAAGGACUCUGAGACUCAAACAGGCAGGAGUUUCCUACCAGCAUUACAGCCAGUUUACCAGUCAGCUCCUGCAGUCUGGUCCAUAGACCUCUCAGAGAGAAAGGCCUCCCUCCUCCUAGAAGUGCUGAAACUCCAACCAGAGAAGAAACCAGUAGAGCUGAAGGACUGGUCAGAUGAAGAGAGUGAAGUGAGGAGUUUCCUUCAGUGUCUGUCCUACAUCUCACAGCUGAGUUUCCAUCCAUGGUGGUCUGAUCCCUCAAAGCUGAUCAAGUUCCUGGUGGAUCUCCUGUCUCAAGCAGCAGAGUGGGAGGAGCAGACAGGAGAGAAGACACUGAAGCUGGUAUCAUCAGUGUGGACUUACAGCACCUUUCCCUUCUGUGAUGAUGAUGAUGAUGACAGUAAGGAAUAUCAAUGUGAAUUCCUGCUGGAUCUGUACUCACAUGUGAAGGACUAUGAGACUCAAACAGGCAGGAGUUUCCUUCCAGCAUUACAGCCAGUUUACCAGUCAGCUCCUGCAGUCUGGUCCAUAGACCUCUCAGAGAGAAAGGCCUCCCUCCUCCUAGAAGUGCUGAAACUCCAACCAGAGAAGAAACCAGUAGAGCUGAAGGGCUGGUCAGAUGAAGAGAGUGAAGUGAGGAGUUUCCUUCAGUGUCUGUCCUACAUCUCACAGCUGAGCUGUGGUGAUGACAGGUUCUUCCAGACUGUGUGUGAAUCCAUCCCUGUGAGGUCCAGAGAGGAGGACCAGCAGUUGGCCUCUCUCCUCCAGGCCUUGGGCUCCACCCUGUCACUGGGAGGAGUGUUACCCAGGAAAACCUGCAGGUCUGUGGGGAGAGUCCUGGGUCUCUGUGCCUCCAGAGUGGACCUCACUCUCACCCCCAGCAAGAUCUCUCUCCAAGGAGCCGCACUUCUUUUGAGACAUAAGUCAAAGCUCCACAAGCUCAGGCUGAAUGUGGGCGUGGCAGUGAAACUGUCCAGACUGGUUAGGAGGACAGGGAGAGGUGCUACUCCACUGACUGUCCCAGAACUCUCCCUGGUCCUAAAGAGCAGCCAGCCACCAGAGAGAGUGUUAUCCAGGGCUCUGAGUAGUGUGGCGUCCCUGCUGAGAAUCUGGAGGGUUCAGUGUCUGGACCUGACUGACUUCUGCAUCCAGGGUCACUCUCUCAUCACACUGCUGUGUCACCAGGGACCUCUCUCUCUCAGGUCAGUCUGAAACUGAUGUUUUUUUAAAGUAGAAAUAGUAACUUCAUUCAUGUGUUUUUCUUCAUAUUUCUGACUGCCUGUAUGUUCCAACCUCCUAGACUAAACUCAGACACUCUGCAGCAGCUGACUGUAGUUGUGUAUGAAGCUCAGGACAAGGACUUGACUCAGUGGUUCCUGGAGAAGGUUGGUGGAGACCUGACCUCCUGCAGGCUGGACUGGGAAGUGCUUCUCUCUCUGCUGCAGCAUUCAACCCACAACAUCACUGUGGACCUCAGGAAGAACCGGCUCCUAGAGAAGAACAGCUCACAUCUUCUCCCCUUUCUGGGAAGGGUUACUCUCAAGAGGUGGGAGAACUUCUUUCUCUAUUCAGACUUUCUAGAAAGAAUAAAAUAACUAUUUCUAUCCAGUGACAUGUUGUUCUGAGUUUUCCUCUGUAAUAUCAUUAGGGUUUUAUUCAAGAGGUGGGAGAUCUUUAUUCAAUAUUUAUAUACUUUAAUUAUUAAUGUCUUAUCCAGCCAGUUGUUAUUAUGUGAGUUAUCUUUUAUAAAACCUUGACAUAACCACAACAAUCCUUUCUCCAUGUUUGUUC